RNAcentral lists this long non-coding RNA (944 nucleotides) under Selaginella moellendorffii. Its description in RNAcentral is "long non-coding RNA (SMOE_LNC000023)". The record is from RNAcentral. Lineage: Eukaryota; Viridiplantae; Streptophyta; Lycopodiopsida; Selaginellales; Selaginellaceae.
AGGAAGGCAAAGGUGACGGAGGCAGUGGAUCUUGAGCACAGGUUGGUGCCGGACCCGUUCGAACCGCACACCCCGGAAACGUCGAUCAGUGUGGCUGUGGCGGAUGCGGCCGAGAUCAGGAAGUAAGUGCUCAUCUGCCAAAGAAAGAUCAACCAUGAGAAUCAAUCUCAUCCGCAUUGCGUUGGUUUGGACCUGGUCGCAGAUGAAUGUCGCGUAUUGGUACAGGGGAGUCACCCCAGACGAAGACGUGGCGCCGCGGAUCACGCACCAAAGCGAGAAACUUAGCUGCGCCAAAGCGUACGCGCAUGCCAAAACACCGAUGGCCACCGUGUAGCUGCAAAGAAGAGCACUCGCAACUUUGAGUCCGUCGUUCGUUGGUGUGUGCGAGAUCGCGCGAGAGAGGGGAGGGAAUUGGGGCAUUCGCAGAGAAUUGGGACAUACCUCAAGGAUUUGAUUGAUCCUUGGACGUCGUGAAGGAGAUCCGCCAUGACCGAGAAUGCGAUGAGCGAGAAGACGAAUUGGAGCACCCGGAGCACCACAAUCGCGGGCUUCUUCCAGUAGAUCUGGGCCAAGUAGACACGCGACGGGACAUAGGGCGAUGGGGGAGCAUCGAAUUUGGUGCUUUGCUGCUGUGAUUCUUCCAUCGAUUGGAUUACCAAAAUUCCCCUAGCUCGGUCGAUCCUAGGCUAGGCAGCGCUGCGUAUAAAACCCAGAUUUCACCAAGGAAACACCCAAGUUGCCGACUUUGUACGUCGCGCAUGCACGAUUGUGUGUAGCCGCUCUCCAGGACAUGAUUAACAUGGACACUUGCAAAAGUCCACGACGACGCGGGGGAGAAAAGAUUAAAUUACCAAACCGCGACAUUCUUGAAACCUCUUCUAUCACGUUGUCAUGGUCCAAAACUUUGCCAAAGGCACCUUCCAUUGCAGCUCGCUAAAGUACUG